UCUCUGAAGUUUUCGGAUGGAAGAGAGUUCAGCUUAGUGGCGAACGGGUGAGUAACACGUGAGCAACCUGCCUUUCAGUGGGGGACAACAUUUGGAAACGAAUGCUAAUACCGCAUAAGACCACAGUGUCGCAUGGCACAGGGGUCAAAGGAUUUAUCCGCUGAAAGAUGGGCUCGCGUCCGAUUAGCUAGAUGGUGAGGUAACGGCCCACCAUGGCGACGAUCGGUAGCCGGACUGAGAGGUUGAACGGCCACAUUGGGACUGAGACACGGCCCAGACUCCUACGGGAGGCAGCAGUGGGGAAUAUUGCACAAUGGGGGAAACCCUGAUGCAGCGACGCCGCGUGGAGGAAGAAGGUCUUCGGAUUGUAAACUCCUGUCCCAGGGGACGAUAAUGACGGUACCCUGGGAGGAAGCACCGGCUAACUACGUGCCAGCAGCCGCGGUAAAACGUAGGGUGCAAGCGUUGUCCGGAAUUACUGGGUGUAAAGGGAGCGCAGGCGGAUUGGCAAGUUGGGAGUGAAAUCUAUGGGCUCAACCCAUAAAUUGCUUUCAAAACUGUCAGUCUUGAGUGGUGUAGAGGUAGGCGGAAUUCCCGGUGUAGCGGUGGAAUGCGUAGAUAUCGGGAGGAACACCAGUGGCGAAGGCGGCCUACUGGGCACUAACUGACGCUGAGGCU
This 678-nucleotide ribosomal RNA is filed under the name uncultured Lachnospiraceae bacterium. RNAcentral describes it as "bacterial SSU rRNA". It matches the Rfam family "Bacterial small subunit ribosomal RNA", at positions 71 to 753 of the family's 1533-position model. Lineage: Bacteria; Bacillati; Bacillota; Clostridia; Lachnospirales; Lachnospiraceae. The record is from RNAcentral.